AGAGUUUGAUCCUGGCUCAGAGCGAACGCUGGCGGCAGGCUUAACACAUGCAAGUCGAGCGGGCGUAGCAAUACGUCAGCGGCAGACGGGUGAGUAACGCGUGGGAACGUACCUUUUGGUUCGGAACAACACAGGGAAACUUGUGCUAAUACCGGAUAAGCCCUUACGGGGAAAGAUUUAUCGCCGAAAGAUCGGCCCGCGUCUGAUUAGCUAGUUGGUGAGGUAAUGGCUCACCAAGGCGACGAUCAGUAGCUGGUCUGAGAGGAUGAUCAGCCACACUGGGACUGAGACACGGCCCAGACUCCUACGGGAGGCAGCAGUGGGGAAUAUUGGACAAUGGGCGCAAGCCUGAUCCAGCCAUGCCGCGUGAGUGAUGAAGGCCCUAGGGUUGUAAACCCCUGUCGAACGGGACGAAAGACUCGGGAGCUAAUCAUCUCGAGAGUGACGGUACCGUUAAAGGAAGCCACGGCUAACUCUGUGCCAGCAGCGGCGGUAAUAC
This 499-nucleotide ribosomal RNA is filed under the name uncultured bacterium. RNAcentral describes it as "bacterial SSU rRNA". It matches the Rfam family "Bacterial small subunit ribosomal RNA", at positions 8 to 526 of the family's 1533-position model. The record is from RNAcentral.